RNAcentral lists this ribosomal RNA (1346 nucleotides) under uncultured bacterium. RNAcentral describes it as "partial 16S ribosomal RNA". It matches the Rfam family "Bacterial small subunit ribosomal RNA", at positions 28 to 1381 of the family's 1533-position model. The record is from RNAcentral.
GACGAACGUUGGCGGCGUGCUUAACACAUGCAAGUCGAACGGAAAGGCCCUGCUUUUGCGGGGUGCUCGAGUGGCGAACGGGUGAGUAACACGUGAGUAACCUGCCCUUGACUUUGGGAUAACUUCAGGAAACUGGGGCUAAUACCGGAUAGGAGCUCCUGCUGCAUGGUGGGGGUUGGAAAGUUUCGGCGGUUGGGGAUGGACUCGCGGCUUAUCAGCUUGUUGGUGGGGUAGUGGCUUACCAAGGCUUUGACGGGUAGCCGGCCUGAGAGGGCGACCGGCCACAUUGGGACUGAGAUACGGCCCAGACUCCUACGGGAGGCAGCAGUGGGGAAUAUUGCACAAUGGGCGGAAGCCUGAUGCAGCAACGCCGCGUGCGGGAUGACGGCCUUCGGGUUGUAAACCGCUUUCGCCUGUGACGAAGCGUGAGUGACGGUAAUGGGUAAAGAAGCACCGGCUAACUACGUGCCAGCAGCCGCGGUGAUACGUAGGGUGCGAGCGUUGUCCGGAUUUAUUGGGCGUAAAGGGCUCGUAGGUGGUUGAUCGCGUCGGAAGUGUAAUCUUGGGGCUUAACCCUGAGCGUGCUUUCGAUACGGGUUGACUUGAGGAAGGUAGGGGAGAAUGGAAUUCCUGGUGGAGCGGUGGAAUGCGCAGAUAUCAGGAGGAACACCAGUGGCGAAGGCGGUUCUCUGGGCCUUUCCUGACGCUGAGGAGCGAAAGCGUGGGGAGCGAACAGGCUUAGAUACCCUGGUAGUCCACGCUGUAAACGGUGGGUACUAGGUGUGGGGUCCAUUCCACGGGUUCCGUGCCGUAGCUAACGCUUUAAGUACCCCGCCUGGGGAGUACGGCCGCAAGGCUAAAACUCAAAGGAAUUGACGGGGCCCCGCACAAGCGGCGGAGCAUGCGGAUUAAUUCGAUGCAACGCGUAGAACCUUACCUGGGUUUGACAUGGAUCGGGAGUGCUCAGAGAUGGGUGUGCCUCUUUUGGGGUCGGUUCACAGGUGGUGCAUGGCUGUCGUCAGCUCGUGUCGUGAGAUGUUGGGUUAAGUCCCGCAACGAGCGCAACCCUUGUUCACUGUUGCCAGCACGUUAUGGUGGGGACUCAGUGGAGACCGCCGGGGUCAACUCGGAGGAAGGUGGGGAUGACGUCAAGUCAUCAUGCCCCUUAUGUCCAGGGCUUCACGCAUGCUACAAUGGCUGGUACAGAGAGUGGCGAGCCUGUGAGGGUGAGCGAAUCUCGGAAAGCCGGUCUCAGUUCGGAUUGGGGUCUGCAACUCGACCUCAUGAAGUCGGAGUCGCUAGUAAUCGCAGAUCAGCAACGCUGCGGUGAAUACGUUCCCGGGGCU